AUGUCUUAUGGUAUUGGGUUUUGAUGCAAGCUUCUUGAUCAAAGUACUAAGAGUUUGUUAUAUAAUUGUAAACAAAUUUCGAUGAGAUGAUGGCAUUUCGGUGUUAUUGUCAAUAUUUGAAAUUUGGUAUAACUCCCAUGACUCAGGUAUGAUCCAAUUCAAGGACAUUGCCAGGUAGGGAGUUUGACUGGGGCGGUACAUCUCUCAAAUAAUAACGGAGGUGUCCCAAGGCCAGCUCAGUGCGGACAGAAACCACACAUAGAGCAAAAGGGCAAAUGCUGACUUGAUCUCGGUGNUCAGUACACACAGG
Molecule: ribosomal RNA, 310 nt
Filed under: Musca domestica (house fly)
Lineage: Eukaryota; Metazoa; Arthropoda; Insecta; Diptera; Muscidae
Description: eukaryotic LSU rRNA
Rfam family: Eukaryotic large subunit ribosomal RNA
Source: RNAcentral